GGUUAGUCUGAGUGCAGUGGUGUUUACAACUAAUUGAUCACAACCAGUUACAGAUUCCUUUGUUCCUUCUCCACUCCCACUGCUUCACUUUACCAGACCAGUA
This 103-nucleotide Y RNA is filed under the name Microcebus murinus (gray mouse lemur). RNAcentral describes it as "Y RNA (ENSMICG00000046116.1)". It matches the Rfam family "Y RNA". Rfam says of the family: Y RNAs are components of the Ro ribonucleoprotein particle (Ro RNP), in association with Ro60 and La proteins. The Y RNAs and Ro60 and La proteins are well conserved, but the function of the Ro RNP is not known. The record is from RNAcentral. Lineage: Eukaryota; Metazoa; Chordata; Mammalia; Primates; Cheirogaleidae.